UGUAAAGGUGCAAAUUUCCAAUGAUGAAUGUCAUUAUAUUGUAUAUCUAAAAGGUACCAAUAAAAUUAAAUUUAAAAACAAGACAGAUAAUAGGAAAAAAGUUACACUCCAGAAUGGACAAUUUAUCUAAAAGUGUACCUUGAUUUAGUUUAAUUGUCUUAUGUGUUUUAUAUGUUUUUGGCCUUUUAGUCUCCCUGAUAAUCUGUAUGUAUGAUUGAUAAUUCUAUUAGGACUUAUAAGUAAAUGAAUCUAAUGGUGGCAAAAACAAAAAAAGGGCAGUGGAGGGGAAGGCGAAAAAACGAGUUGAAAUGUACUAUGUACCAAAUUCCCCACAAUGAAUAUAAUUAUUAUUAUUUUUAUUAUUUUCAUGGUUCUGUCAGCAAUGAAUAUAAUUAUUAUGUACUGUAAACAUGUACUAAUAAAAAUAAAAAAUGAAAAAACCCCAAAAUAUUACAAAAUUUUUUGUGCUAAGAGAAUAACCAGAUACAUAGUCAAGGAUUGAAAUAAAAGUAGAUUUUGUAACAUUAAUCUUAAUUUCAGAAAAUAUAAUAGAAUAUUUUAAAUAAAUUGAGGUACAACUAUUAGUUGGCUUCCUUACUUUGAUGCUAAUUUUGUUAUAAUAUCCCCCCCCCAUGCAUACACACACAAGAGACCGACAAACCCACAAAAGUACAAUGCUAACAAGUUAAUAAUGGUUGUUGUGGGCCACGCACAGUGGCCCACACCUAUACUCUUAGCAGCUCAAGAGGCUGAGGCAGGAGGAUCACAAGUUCAAAGGCAGCUUGGGCAACUUAAUGAGACCCUGUUUCAAAAAAAAAUUAAAUGGUUGAGAAUAUAACUCAGGGCAAAGGCUCUGGGUUCAAUCCCCAGUGCCACAAGCUGACAGACAAAAGUUGCUUCCAAAAAGUAGAGUCAAGGGUAUAGCUUACAUUUAUCUUAUCUGUAAUCUUGUGCAGUGAUUAUUUUUCUGCAUAUAAAAAUACUUCGAUAAUAAAAAAAUAUUAUGUAUGUGUAAGUUAAUCUAAAAUUUUCAACAUUUGAAUUUAUUUGCAACAAAUGAAGUAAAAUAGCUAUCAUUUUCUGUGGAUAUGGGAAGAAUAAUAUAUUAGCCUUUUACUGCAAAGGCAAAUAGAUGUUUUUUAGGUAGAGCAUAUUUUCUUAAUUAGGACUAUUAGCAUUGUCAACCAAGAAUAAAAUCAACUUGAUUCAAAACAAAGAUAAUCACAUUUAUCUGGGGCUAAUUAGGUUUGCAACCUAGGAUGCACAAAUUCAAGUAGACUUAAAUUGUGUUCCCUAGGUCAAAGAAAAUGACAGCUGUAUUUAAAACCUAAAACCACAAAGGAGUUUGUAACUACAGCAUUUAUUAGUCAGGAAUCAUGAUUGCUGUUGGCAAGAGUGAAGGUGAACUUAUAAGAAAGGGACUGGGUAUAGUCUGUUUCUGGGUAGUUUGAGAGGAGGGAUCCUUCAUACAGACGAUCAGCAUAGGUUGAGGAUGUUUCAGAUAACUGAUUUGGCUCAGUCUUAAGGUCGCCUCACAUGAGAGGAGCACAUCUGCAGCCUAGUUCAAAGGUCAGAUCUCAUGAAACUUGACCCAACAAUGUCCUCUUCUUUCAAGUGCCCUGAACCGACACUUUCAUUUUAUUUUUCUUCUUUGACAGCAAAUUAUUAAAUGCACACAGCCUGGAUCCCUGUUGUGGAAUAUGAGAUUUACGAAGUUUGGACACUUGAGAUACGUCAGCAUUUACAUUCACCAAUAACUCCAUCAAAGCUUUUUCAUAAACAAAUAUUUUUUAUGACAUUAAAUACUAGAGAAAUGCAAAGUAAAACUAUUUAAUUUUCUAUUUUGCAGGUGUCAGUAAACCAGACUUUAGUAUAAACAAAGGAAGUAUUUUUUCAAGAAUAGGUGUCAUGGUUUAGGCAUCCAACCAAAAAUCAACCCAAGGCGUGUUCUAGCAAGAUUGGUUGAUGGAAGGUGCUGGUGGAAGACUGCAGAAUAGAGUUGUUUCCAGGCAGUCUGCAGGAUGUUUUGUAUUUGGCCAACUUGGGGAAUAAUAAAGUUGCCUAGUCAAGCACACAUAGUCAGUUCACCUUCCAAAAUGCAGAGACAUAAGAUACAGUGAUUUUUUUAAAAAAAUAUUUUUAUUGCUAAAUUUUAGACAUGUAAUGAUCGUAUUUAUCAUAGGGCAUCUGUACCUGUACAUAAUAUAUCCUGAUACCCGCUCAGACAAUCUCUAUCUUGGCAUACAAGGAUGAACAACUGAUUAGAACAACUAUUUCACCUUGACUAAAGUAGUCCAAUCAGUAAUAACAGUAGGAUCAAGCACAGCCUAGAAAAUGUCACUGUGGUAACUAUUAAUUUGCCACCUUUAACCAUAUGAAUAAUAUUUAUAGUUAUAUAACAAAACAAACUAGAAAAUUGUAUACAGUUAAUAUCACCUCAAUUGAGCAAUUUUACCCUCUUGGGAGAAAAUUUUAAAGGGAUAAGAAAAAA
Molecule: non-coding RNA, 2491 nt
Organism: Heterocephalus glaber (naked mole-rat)
Lineage: Eukaryota; Metazoa; Chordata; Mammalia; Rodentia; Bathyergidae
Source: RefSeq, a predicted model, not a curated record